UUUCAAAUGUGGGGUCAUGAAGAGACAACAUUGGUACAGUUGGUGCUAUGAUCCUUCCUUAAUCAUUCCUUACUACAACCUUUUCCCUCUCUACUUUAAGUCCAUGGACCUGCAAAGUUCUAAUGCAAUUCGACAGGCUUUCCCUCAAUGAAAAAAUACAUUUUUGAUGUUGUGGACUGUGUGUCACCAUGCUGAGGGCCGACUGACAAUUGAGUGUCUCCACGGGCCUCAUUAGAUCCCCUGUGUGUGUGUGUGUGUGUGUGUGUGUGUGCGUGCGUGUGCGUGGAACUGUAUUCAAUAAAAAGGCAACCUAUAGUUGACUGCAUCACCGAGAAUUGUAUAGAGGGUCACGGUUUGCUUGUUUGCAUAAAUACAUUUGCACUUGCAGUGUGCAUAGGUGACUACUUGCCCCCAGGCCAACAUAUCUUUGUUUUCAUCGGCUACGGUAUGUCAUGAACGUGAUAGAAUGCUUUCUGUUUAAUGGCCGCACAAAAUGUUAUAUUUUUUUGCCCCUGAAAAUGUUUCCUGCAGCCACUUUGUAUUUUAAUGCACUAAAAUUAUGUCCACGUCAAGGGAGUCAAAAGAGAGAUUUACAAAAGAAAUCACAGGUCAGGACAGGCAUGCCCCAGCAGGUGCAACUGCAAUUAUUCAGAGCCUAUGAAUGAUUAAUGAUGUAAAUCAAAUAUCAAAACAAGUUGACACAGAAAAAUGAUUAAAGCAUGCGGUUGAAUAGGGAUACGGCAACACAUUCAGUUGUGUGCUAUGUCUCAGCCACUGUAGACAUGCAGGCAGACCCCUGUUGUUCACAGUACAAUGUUGCAGCACAGUGAGACAUAGCACACUUGUGACGAAUACACAAAUCUUAGUUGAGAUGUUUUAUUCCAAGAGAAAGUGGAAAGGAGAGAGGAAAACUAGGGCCCUCUACACAUACAUCACCACCAAACAAAAAACAAACGGGUUAAAAACAUCAUUUUAAAUGUUCAUUUACAACAUGACAAGAGCAUUGUGUUGCCUGAAAACGCAAUCAUUCGAAAACAGGUUGGGUGAACAUUUUUCGACACGCUUCACCUAAAAUCAGAAAAUGGUUUGUGAAAAUGGUGACAUGUUCAGUCUGAGUAUGUGCAAAUAUUUCACAACAAAAACAACAACGGUGGACCGCAGUGCUGUUGUCGCUAGCUUCUCCAGCUAUGCCCAACUAUACGCCGAUAAUGGUUAUUCAAAAGACGCUUUUGGGUCAAACCCAGAAGAACACGUAGUUGGUGCGCAUGUGUCAUGUUUCUUUACAAAGCGCUUUCGCCAACUACAGGCCUGGCAUGCGUAUUACAACGUUUUUACACUGUCAUCAGUACGGGAAACCUUUUUAAAAUGCAUAGAAAAAAAAUAUCAAGUUUUCGUUUAAUGCUGUUGUCCAAACAGACCAAGAAUGGCACUUAAUAAGUCACAGACCUCUGCCAAGGGUGAUACAUUAACAAAGCUGAGCCAAAAAUAACAUGGAGCAAUGUAAUAGUGUUUGUUAGUCCAUUCAUUUCGUAAUUAGCAGGUUACUUUCUGAGGCAUGAAGGUUGACGUUAGACAUUGCAUUAGUCAGAUAUAGAGUAAGUAAGUACUGUUUGUAUUCUUUGGCAAGGGGAAUGCUUGAACUAAUAAAAUGAAGUGGAAGAAAUUGUGGAGCAGCACAUAUUUUGUCUGUUGUUUGUUACAUAGCAAAUGUUGUGACUCAGAGAGAAAUUCCUCUAGCCCCAAUUUGGUCCAGAAUUUAAUGGGUUCUUCCAGUUUGAUCUGGAUUUGUCUCAAAAUGGAACGGGUUCUUGCUUCGUCUGUGCAUCGCCUCUUUAAAAGGGUUUGUGGAAAUUGGUUAUGUAGUUUAGAUGACAUAAUCUUUCUAUUAACUAACCAAACAACAAUUGAUGAUUUAAAAAAAUAACUGUUGUCUUCAACUUUCAGACUUAAGGUAAUUAAAAGCAAAUAUUGGUGAUAUAGCACUUUGAAGCAUUAGUCAAACCAACGGCACUGAGGAUUCCUAUAAGAAAAUCACAAAAUUUAAAAGGUUGUGUUUAAUGUAAUUAAUGUUUUAGCUUCAGUAAAUGGGGGGUCUUUGCCGCCUUUAUAUUUACCCAAUCAUCCUCUUCUUCCAUCUGAAACUGUCUUGUUAGAGCAGGAUUGAUUUUAACGGAGAGAUGAUGAGUGGUCAGCAGAGAUUUGAACAGGCGCAAUCUUCGCCCGAGGGCAGAUCGACCGGUGGCCAGAAAACGUAUUCACAGGAUGUUGUCCCUACAUCUGCCUCCCUUUGAAGUUGCUCACUCUGCUCUGGCAUGUCAUACAUGACCGCUUCAUUCUCCUCCAACACUUUUAACGAGUGUGAAAAGGCCGCAAAUACUGAUCUGUGUUCCACAAGGUAUUUGUGCUGCUGUGUGUAUGCGUGCGUGUGCGUGUGCGUCUGCGCUGCCAUGUUGGAGAGAGAAAGCAGCAGAGCGAAGAGAGAAAAAGAGGGGAGCGACUCGAGAUGAUGCGAGCCAAUCUGCACUUCCUCUGAGAAUUCAAGCCUUACCAGAGGAGUUUUCUUCUGAUCUGCUGCCGUACAUCCAACAUGUCCUGCCAGGUCGAAGCCGGAGCAUCCUGUGACCCCUGACCUCUUGGACAAUAGAGGCCAGGACGUUUCCCAGUGAGCAGCGAUGGAGCCAACAACAGGAACAUGAGGGGUGCUCAUGGGAAACAAACUGUUUAUUGUGCAGCAGGAUGGGCAGCCGACCCCCCCACCCCCAAUGUCCCAGUCACUUACUUACACGUUCACACACAUUCAUGCAACACACGCUCUCAUGCACACCAGCAUAUACGCUUCUGCAUUGUAACAUCUUGUGAAGGUCUUUAUGAUGACUAAAUAACUCAUAUACAAAUCUCCCAUGGCCUCAGAAAAAAAGAGACUGUGCUCUUUUGUAUUUGUCUCUUCAAAUAAAAAAAUUACUCCAAAUUUUAGGAGAUUCAAAAAAUAUACCUCUAAAACAUAUUUUGUGUGCAUUUAUUUAAAAAAUUAAAACCUAAAACGUAUCAAAGCUGGGAGGGUACAGUACAGCCUCUGAGGAUGAAAACUAUCAGUUGCAGGACGCUGGACGAUACAUACUGUACAUUCUUCUUUUCGUCUCACAUUCAGCUUCUCUUGAUAUACCACAAUAAAAAGCCACAAUAAUGCCAAAGAAAAAGCAAAACACACUCCUAGGUCUUGUGUGGUACACUGAGGCCUGCCAUGAAAUACUGGCACCUCAAA
Long non-coding RNA from Phyllopteryx taeniolatus (common seadragon), 3262 nucleotides. RefSeq lists it as uncharacterized. NCBI's taxonomy places the organism in Eukaryota, Metazoa, Chordata, Actinopteri, Syngnathiformes, Syngnathidae. The transcript is spliced from 3 exons. The record is from RefSeq and is a predicted model, not a curated record.